Molecule: ribosomal RNA, 890 nt
Filed under: uncultured bacterium
Lineage: Bacteria
Description: bacterial SSU rRNA
Rfam family: Bacterial small subunit ribosomal RNA
Source: RNAcentral
AGAGUUUGAUCAUGGCUCAGGACGAACGCUGGCGGCGUGCUUAACACAUGCAAGUCGAGCGGAGAAUAUAGCAAUAUAUUCUUAGCGGCGGACGGGUGAGUAACGCGUGGGCAAUCUGCCUCAUACAGGGGGAUAACACUGGGAAACUAGUGCUAAUACCGCAUAAAAUAAUGAAGUGGCAUCACUUUAUUAUCAAAGGAGCAAUCCGGUGUGAGAUGAGCCCGCGUCCGAUUAGCUAGUUGGAGGGGUAACGGCCCACCAAGGCGACGAUCGGUAGCCGAACUGAGAGGUUGAUCGGCCACAUUGGGACUGAGACACGGCCCAGACUCCUACGGGAGGCAGCAGUGGGGAAUAUUGCGCAAUGGGGGAAACCCUGACGCAGCAACGCCGCGUGAAGGAUGAAGGUUUUCGGAUUGUAAACUUCUUUGAUUGGGGACGAUAAUGACGGUACCCAAAAAACAAGCCACGGCUAACUACGUGCCAGCAGCCGCGGUAAUACGUAGGUGGCAAGCGUUGUCCGGAUUUACUGGGUGUAAAGGGCGUGUAGGCGGGGAUGCAAGUCAGAUGUGAAAUUCCGGGGCUCAACCCCGGCGCUGCAUCUGAAACUGUAUCUCUUGAGUGCUGGAGAGGAAAGCGGAAUUCCUAGUGUAGCGGUGAAAUGCGUGGAUAUUAGGAGGAACACCAGUGGCGAAGGCGGCUUUCUGGACAGUAACUGACGCUGAGGCGCGAAAGCGUGGGGAGCGAACAGGAUUAGAUACCCUGGUAGUCCACGCCGUAAACGAUGGAUACUAGGUGUAGGAGGUAUCGACCCCUUCUGUGCCGGAGUUAACACAAUAAGUAUCCCACCUGGGGAGUACGGCCGCAAGGUUGAAACUCAAAUGAAUUGACGG